Molecule: ribosomal RNA, 496 nt
Filed under: uncultured bacterium
Lineage: Bacteria
Description: bacterial SSU rRNA
Rfam family: Bacterial small subunit ribosomal RNA
Source: RNAcentral
CCUACGGGAGGCAGCAGUGGGGAAUAUUGGACAAUGGGCGAAAGCCUGAUCCAGCAAUGCCGCGUGAGUGAUGAAGGCCUUAGGGUUGUAAAGCUCUUUUACCAGGGAUGAUAAUGACAGUACCUGGAGAAUAAGCUCCGGCUAACUCCGUGCCAGCAGCCGCGGUAAUACGGAGGGAGCUAGCGUUGUUCGGAAUUACUGGGCGUAAAGCGUACGUAGGCGGUUAUUCAAGUCAGAGGUGAAAGCCUGGAGCUCAACUCCAGAACUGCCUUUGAAACUAGAUAGCUAGAAUCUUGGAGAGGUGAGUGGAAUUCCGAGUGUAGAGGUGAAAUUCGUAGAUAUUCGGAAGAACACCAGUGGCGAAGGCGACUCACUGGACAAGUAUUGACGCUGAGGUACGAAAGCGUGGGGAGCAAACAGGUAUUAGACUACCCUGGUAGUCCACGCCGUAAACGAUAGAUAACUAGCUGUCGGCUCUACGAGCUUAGAGUGGCGC